Molecule: ribosomal RNA, 301 nt
Filed under: uncultured bacterium
Lineage: Bacteria
Description: partial 16S ribosomal RNA
Rfam family: Bacterial small subunit ribosomal RNA
Source: RNAcentral
CAGUCGCCACGGGAAUACGAAGGGCGCAAGCGUUAAUCGGAAUUACUGGGCGUAAAGCGUGCGUAGGCGGUGAGUUAAGUCUGCUGUGAAAUCCCCGGGCUCAACCUGGGAAUGGCAAUGGAUACUGGCAAGCUAGAGUGUGUCAGAGGAUGGUGGAAUUCCCGGUGUAGCGGUGAAAUGCGUAGAGAUCGGGAGGAACAUCAGUGGCGAAGGCGGCCAUCUGGGACAACACUGACGCUGAGGCACGAAAGCGUGGGGAGCAAACAGGAUUAGAUACCCGAGUAGUCCUGUCUCUUAUACC